AUCCCAUAUCAGCUAAGGAGUGUUAUCACAUACUAAGUCUGGUUUUACUCAAGAUACUCCUAAAAAUGUUUAUCUUCCAGAGUCUUCAGUGGGACUGCGCAUAUAUUCAAAGACGAGCACAUAUGAAAGUGUUCAGACACUGCAGAGAAAAGACGGAUAAAAGGACUUGUACAAGAGAAUCAACAGGGAGACUUGUCACCAUUUUACUGUGGAGAUAGAAAAAGAGAAGGAAACUGGCUUUUGAACCACUAGACUGUCACCUGCCAUUUGCACAGGCUUACCACAUGCUGUUUUGUUCGAAACUUUAUGACCAGCUGCAACAGCAAUCCUUUAGCCUGUUUGGAUGAGGUGCAAGGGCUCUAACCCUGCAUGGGCACUCAGGGGAAAUAUAUUUUCAAAAGCAUAUGCCAUCCCUGUAACUGCGGUCUUUCUAAUUACAGAUGUUUCUGACAACAGCAGCGCUUGUAGCUGGAUUCUUCACCAGAAAUAAAACUGUAUUAAGCAGUAUGAAGAACUGAGCAGCUGAUCACUUUGCAAAUCACCGUCUUUUUGUCAUCUAGUUUGGGAAAGAAACCUUUGACAAUAUGAAGUCUUUCAAGCUACACUGAAAAUUGAGCCAUGCAGAGAGCUUCGCCCACAGGAAAAAAAAUGGCUUGGAAAAGUUUAACUCAUCAGUCUCUGACAGCUCGUCUCUGGCUGUGGAGCCUCAUGUGUUUCACAGGCUGCUAUGAUUCAGCAUGGAAAGCACACAAACUCUGUCUCUCGAAGAUCCCAGUGCACAGGAGAACAGCAAAACCUCAGGUCUGAGCACAGCACACUGGUGCACA
Strigops habroptila (Kakapo) is the source of this 827-nucleotide long non-coding RNA. RefSeq lists it as uncharacterized. NCBI's taxonomy places the organism in Eukaryota, Metazoa, Chordata, Aves, Psittaciformes, Psittacidae. The record is from RefSeq and is a predicted model, not a curated record. The transcript is spliced from 7 exons.